RNAcentral lists this ribosomal RNA (253 nucleotides) under uncultured bacterium. RNAcentral's name for it is "partial 16S ribosomal RNA". It matches the Rfam family "Bacterial small subunit ribosomal RNA", at positions 524 to 776 of the family's 1533-position model. The record is from RNAcentral.
UACGUAGGAUGCAAGCGUUGUCCGGAAUUAUUGGGCGUAAAGAGCGAGCAGGCGGUUUGGAAAGUUGGACGUGAAAUUUUAGGGCUUAACCCUAAAGGGUCGUCCAAAACUCCCAGACUAGAGUGCAGGAGAGGAAAGCGGAAUUCCCGGUGUAGUGGUGAAAUGCGUAGAUAUCGGGAGGAACACCUGUGGCGAAAGCGGCUCACUGGACCACUACUGACGCUGAUGCGCGAAAGCUAGGGGAGCAAACAGG